UACGGAGGUUCCAAGCGUUGUUCGGAAUUACUGGGCGUAAAGGGAGCGCAGGCGGAUAGGUCAGUCUAAAGUGGAAGCCCGGGGCUUAACCUCGGAAGUGCUUUGGAUACUGCCUGUCUUGAGUUCGUGAGAGGAAAGCGGAAUUCAGGGUGUAGCGGUGAAAUGCUUAGAUAUCCUGAGGAACACCAAUGGCGAAAGCAGCUUUCUGGCGCGAAACUGACGCUGAGGCUCGAAAGCGUGGGUAGCGAACGGGAUUAGAUACCCCGGUAGUCCACGCCGUAAACGUUGUGCACUAGGUGCAGGAGGUAUCGACCCCUUCUGUGCCGGAGCUAACGCAUUAAGUGCACCGCCUGGGGAGUACGCUCGCAAGAGUGAA
RNAcentral lists this ribosomal RNA (376 nucleotides) under uncultured bacterium. RNAcentral's name for it is "bacterial SSU rRNA". It matches the Rfam family "Bacterial small subunit ribosomal RNA", at positions 524 to 898 of the family's 1533-position model. The record is from RNAcentral.